Molecule: microRNA precursor, 85 nt
Filed under: Bombyx mori (domestic silkworm)
Lineage: Eukaryota; Metazoa; Arthropoda; Insecta; Lepidoptera; Bombycidae
Description: mir-2807 microRNA precursor family
Rfam family: mir-2807 microRNA precursor family
Source: Rfam by way of RNAcentral
AAAAGUUAACUAUUGUAUGUAGUUGGAACAGCGCCCCUAGCGGCAAACAUAAGCAAACGUUCCAACUCCAUACAAAUUUGAGUUA